AGUGAGAAGAAAAGUUGUUUCCAACAUGCAGUCCGUAUUCCAGCCAUCCUUUCAAUAAAAAAUGCUGAAAUUCUAAAGAUGGGACAAAGCACUAUGAAAUAUAUUGCAGAGAAACCAUCUACAAUAUUCUAUGGCUGGAAGCAAAGAAGAAAAGCCUGAUGACCCCACAGAUGGAUAUAUGUCCCAGGACUGUUAAUUCCAAGAGUGCUAUGAUGGGGGAAGCAUAUACUUCUCUUAAUUGCAUUAUACUAAGGACCUACAAUAUUUCAGGCCAUCUCCAUAUGCCUCAAGCUUGAUACUUGUACUGUUCCAUUAUUCAUUUUUUCCAUCUUCAGAGUGCCAAAUUAAAAUAAUUUCUUCAAUCUCGUACUUCAACAUACCUAGUCUAGCUCCAGUUAUGGAAUAUACACUACCUCUCAAACUCUCACUCCAGCAUAAAAAUGCUGUCUUAAAGUUGAUGCUUCCUUCUCUCCCUUUCAUUUCUUCUAGAUUUAGCUUUCUCCCCAUUAGCAAGCUCCCAGCUCUCUGCACAGGAAGCUACUCUUCUAAUUGAACCUGCUUUACAAAUCGCACAAUUGCCAGUAAGGUGUCCCAGUGCUAUAUGUAUUCCAAGUCUGAAAACACACUUGCCACAAAAAAUGUGCUGUAGUCAACUUUUCAGUCCCUUUAUCUUGUUUCUAUCAUGAAUCAUAUGUCCCAUCUUCCUCUUCAGCCUGCUAGUACAUUUAUGAGUUAAGAAAAUCAGAUUUUUGGGGGUUCCUCCUGACUUUGAAUCCUAAUUGCUUUUCUUUCUGGGAACC
Long non-coding RNA from Oxyura jamaicensis (ruddy duck), 800 nucleotides. RefSeq lists it as uncharacterized. The transcript is spliced from 2 exons. NCBI's taxonomy places the organism in Eukaryota, Metazoa, Chordata, Aves, Anseriformes, Anatidae. The record is from RefSeq and is a predicted model, not a curated record.